Hemicordylus capensis (graceful crag lizard) is the source of this 3123-nucleotide long non-coding RNA. RefSeq lists it as uncharacterized. NCBI's taxonomy places the organism in Eukaryota, Metazoa, Chordata, Lepidosauria, Squamata, Cordylidae. The record is from RefSeq and is a predicted model, not a curated record. The transcript is spliced from 4 exons.
GGGAGCGUGAGAGGAAAUAAAACAGAUAACAAGCAAAGGGGGAAAGUAGCACAGUAAACAAACAGCAUAUUUUUUUCCCUCCACAGAGUGAGCUUUUGUGACUGGAGGCUGUAUCUUUGUGCAGCUUGACUUCUAAUCCAUAUCGCAAAUAGCUUCCAGAUGCCCGACUCCUUGCCACUAUUCUGGCAUCCCUGCCCUUCACAGAUGCCUCUCUAUGAGGGGGUCUCUAAGUAAAAUUGGGUGUAUUUUACUAAUCAUUCAUUUCCAAUCUUCCUGAAGGGAAACUUUUAUUAAUAAACUCUUUUCAUCUGUCUCUUUGACUAGGAAGAAGAUAAUCGCUUAGUCAUGUGAAAGGAGGGGGAAAAGAAGAUUGCUGGGGGGUCGUCUUUUAAAACAUGUGCUCGACUGGAGGGACACAAAUAAAAAACACUGAACAAUGGCAGUACGAAAUGGUUCCAGUUGAGCUUGAGCAACAGAGUGGGAGUUUGAAUAAGAAAUCCCGAGACAGGCUCGGCCUCACAAAGCAAGCAGAACUAAUUCUUCUAAAUCCAACUACUUCACAGGAAGCAGGCGAGGCCUACACACGCUGACAGGCAGGUGCACUCCACUGAGAGCCGCAAAAAAUGAAAAGCUUUCCUGGGAACGUCUGUUUGGAGCGACAUGAAAUCCAAAAGCUGUUCGUUUAAAUGGUAGUAGAAGCCUCAGAGAGUCUAAGCAGCUGAUCCCAAGUUUUAUUGCUACUGAUGUCAAAAGUAUUAACCAUGGGAUUAUCAGCAAUUUGCAGAAAAUGGGAGAUAACACUGGUGCCCCUUUGGAAAUUUCCCUUCAAAAAUCUGAUCACCCAUCCUGUGCCUGGAAAGAGGUGGAGGAAGAAAGGCUUUAUAGCAGCUGACGUUCCUGCAAUGACAACCACCACCUUCCCCAGUAUAAUUCAGCAGAAGAAAAUGAAGAAAAAACAACAGUGGCCAGCUGCCACGGAGAGGAACAGAAAAAAAUGAGACUUGGAUUAUUGCUUGUUCCUAUAAAAUGGCAAGAGAACUACUUUUCCAGUCACUGAAAGAAUCAGUUGAAUUUUACAGCCAAGUUUACAAACACGUUUAUGGCUCUGCACAUGCUCAGAAACUGUGGACGUGCUUAGAUUCAUAUGAAGCAGAUUGGGGUCUUACACUCAGCACAUCCUCAGAGUGAAUAGUAUGCAUAAUUUUGUAACAGGUCUCCAUGAAGGAAGAGAAAGACACAAGAGGGGUUGAUGAGGUAGUGAAUACCUGUUAAUGACUCUUUCCUUUGAUUUGCAAAAUAACUUUUAACUGGUCAGCUGCCUUUUGAAUGGCAGAUUAACGUUUUUCUGACCCUAGCCUACAGAAGAAAGAUUUGUCAAGACAAUGCAAAUUUCUCUGUCAGAAAUGCCCCCUCAGGAGCCAUCUAUGGAUAUGUGGAUUAUUCCUAUGUGACAAAACUGAGUUGCAAAUUUGUAAAUUGCACCAUUCUAGGUGUGUGCAUGAAUGGUUUGUCCUGAACUGGUUUGCCUUGAACUGGGACUGGUUCGAUCGUGGACUGAUUUGGGGGCAGUUCAGUCUGUGAUCAAACCAAACUGGGCCCGGUUUGGGUGAAGCGUUUGAGGGCAGGAAGAGGGAGGUCAGCAAGAGGGGAAAACUGCUUACUCUCAGUGGGUGCAACUGCUGGCACAGCUACUUGCCCUCUUGGAACGACCCCCCUCCUUUACCAAGCCGGAUGGCUUGGUAAAUGCGGGGGCUGCACUGGAAGGGUGAGCAGCAGUGCCGACACCUGUGCAGGCCGAGGGUAAUCAGUUUCCCCCUCUUUUUGACUUCCCUCUUCCUGCCCCCAAGCUUAAGAACCAAGCCCAUUUACUUGUAAAGGGGACUCCUCGCCAGAUGCCCCUUUACAAGUAUAUCCCCUGAACCGGUUCAGUCCGGUUUGAUGGUCAAAUCAGACUGGACUCCGUUUGGGUGGACAUGGAACUGAACGGGCCGAACCAGUUCCGUGCACAUUCCUACCCCAUUCCUCUCCCCUCCAAGUGCAGAAUAUUAAAAAAACAGCGGUUGGGGAAUAUUUUGUCCAUGUUAUGGCUUCUAUUCAAAGAAUCACAAGGACAUUCAUAGGAAGCAACUUCCCCACCCGCUCCUGCCCACAGAAAUCCCCUCUGCUCUUUCCAGUCUCCCCUGCAGAUCAGUGGGCCCCCUGGGAGGGGUGGAAUUAGGACACAGGAGGCUGCAGGGGAAGAAAUUUUCUCCAUAUUGGACAGAGGCACUUUUGCAAGUGGAGACCAAUUCAUGGAAGGUGCCUCCACCCAAUUUUCAGAAGUCCACCCACCCUCCAGGACUAUUCUUUACUGCCUGGCUGGAGAUAACUUGCAAUAUAAUUUGCUAUCUUCUUGAAGGUAAUUACCCAAAUAUAAAAACCCCAAACCCAUCUCUUUAUCUUAAACAAGAGUAAAUUUAUGGUGCAAAAUACAGGAUAACUAGAAGCAUGUUUUUAAAUGAAGUAUAAAUGGUCCUGCCAAAAUCUAACUCUGUGCAGCAACCACUCUGUGGUGACAAUAAGAAAUCUUGUGGACAGAUACUUUAUAUAUGUAUUUAAAUUUAUUUUUCUAUCUGACUAAUUUCUAGGGUCCUGUUACAGCAGUGUCAUAUGUUGGUGAUUUUUCCCACCCUUAACAAAAAUAGUUUACAUGUCCUGUAGCACAAUGCGGGCAGACCUGCCUCUGCUGCUAUGGGGCUCUAAAUUAUCCAGUGAUGCUGCUGCACAAGAGGGCAGUACUGGCACAACUGACUCUUGUGUGAUCACAUAUUUCAUGCUACUUCCAUUAUUCCCAAUAUGAAUUGUGGUUUAGACCCCUACAGCAAUGCAGACAGGUCUGCACUACCUGCAUUAAACUGUGGGCCAUCUAAGCCACUAUGUUUCGUCUUUCGCUUUGUCCCCACAUGCACACACGCAUAGGAAUCUUGAAGUGCUUUUGGUUUACCUUUAGAAUCUCAGAAAUAUACAUGCAAUAUUAUCUUGCUCAGAGACCAGACAGGAUUCCUAGAAAAAUUCUAAAGGCAUCCACAUACAUUGUCCUUUUAAAAUACAUCUGCAUCUAGACAAGUAGCCCAAACCUACAUA